This 531-nucleotide ribosomal RNA is filed under the name Peribacillus frigoritolerans. RNAcentral's name for it is "[Brevibacterium] frigoritolerans partial 16S ribosomal RNA". It matches the Rfam family "Bacterial small subunit ribosomal RNA", at positions 895 to 1425 of the family's 1533-position model. The record is from RNAcentral. Lineage: Bacteria; Bacillati; Bacillota; Bacilli; Caryophanales; Bacillaceae.
UGAAAAUCAAAGGAAUUGACGGGGGCCCGCCCCAGCGGUGGAGCAUGUGGUUUAAUUUGAAGCAACGGGAAGAACCUUACCCGGUCCUGACCUCGUAUGACAACCCUAGAGAUAGGGCUUUCCCCUUCGGGGGAUAGAGUGCCAGGUGGUCCAUGGUUGUCUUCAGUUCGUUUCGUGAGAUGUUGGGUUAAGUCCCGCAACGAGCCCAACCCUUGCUUUUAUUUGCCACCAUUCAAUUGGGCCCUUUAAGGUGACUGCCGGUGGCCAACCGGAGGAAGGUGGGGAAGGCGUCAAAUCAUCCUGCCCCUUAUGACCUGGGGUACCCCCCUGGUUCAAAGGAUGGUACAAAAGGGUGCACACCUCCGAAGGUAAGGGAAUUCCCUAAAACCAUUUUCAGUUCGGAUUGCAGGUUGCAACUCGCCUGCAUGAAGCCGGAAUCGGUAGUAAUCGCGGAUCAGCAUGACGCGGUGAAUAAGUUCCCGGGCCUUGUACCCCCCCCCCGUCACAGCUCAAAAAAUAAAAACAUCCGUU